GACCUCUUUCUGCUGUGAAUAGUUUGCACCCGAUGAAGUCAGCUCAAGACAUUUUGAAUAGCCUCUGCAUACCUGAGACCUGGCAAACAGCUGUGAGUGCCUUCACUACCUUCAAGAAGGACCCCAAGCAGGUGUGAUCUUCAUCCUGGCCCCUCAACAAGCCAAGCCCAGAUUGGGUAAAUUUGGUCCCAGGCAAAUGCAACAAUCAAUACUAUGGCUUUUGCCCACAGGAUGAAUGUAGACAUCCUCUUUGGAGACAGGCAGCCAUGUCGCCUCCUGACAUGUUUUAUUGGAAACAGGACCCGUCUUGGAGAAGUGGAGGGCUGUGCUGGCAGCAAUGAGCCCCUGGAAUGGGAAAGCGCACCUGGAGCACCCCCUCAAAGUAGAGUGGAAAACAGCUGCUUGCCCCAGCCACGCCUCCAUUGGCCUUUGCCCCUCCCCCUUUCUUUUCCGCCCCAAACUUUUCUCUUUAGUGGAAAAGGAACCUAGGGCCUCCGCUAGGCAAGCCCUCUCCUACCGUUGGGCUACAGCUCCAGCCCUAAAUCUCUCUCUCUUUUUAAAGUUUUAGUUUUCACUGGCAUCUCCAUCACCUCAAAUAUUUAUCAUUUCCUUGUGGUGUGAAUGUUCAAAAUCCUUUCAAGUUGUUUUGAAAGUCACAAUAUAAUAUUAUUGACUAUAGUCACACUAGUAUACAAUAGAGCAUCAGAAUUUCUGUUUGUCUAUGUUGGUCUUAUUUUACUUAGUACAAUGUCCUCCAGGUUCAUCCAUGCUUUCACAAAUGAUAAGAUUUCCUUUUUUUAAAAUUAAUUUUUAAAUUAAA
This 820-nucleotide long non-coding RNA is filed under the name Ictidomys tridecemlineatus (thirteen-lined ground squirrel). RNAcentral's name for it is "lncRNA (ENSSTOG00000029459.1)". The record is from RNAcentral. Lineage: Eukaryota; Metazoa; Chordata; Mammalia; Rodentia; Sciuridae.